RNAcentral lists this ribosomal RNA (292 nucleotides) under uncultured bacterium. RNAcentral's name for it is "partial 16S ribosomal RNA". It matches the Rfam family "Bacterial small subunit ribosomal RNA", at positions 333 to 621 of the family's 1533-position model. The record is from RNAcentral.
UGAGUCCUACGGGGGGCAGCAGUGAGGAAUAUUGGUCAAUGGGCGGAAGCCUGAACCAGCCAAGUCGCGUGAGGGAAUAAGGCCCUACGGGUCGUAAACCUCUUUUGCCGGGGAGCAAGGGCGGGGACGUGUCCCGGCCCGGAGAGUACCCGGAGAAAAAGCAUCGGCUAACUCCGUGCCAGCAGCCGCGGUAAUACGGAGGAUGCGAGCGUUAUCCGGAUUUAUUGGGUUUAAAGGGUGCGUAGGCGGGCUGCUAAGUCUGGAGUGAAAGGUACCGGCUCAACCGGUACAG